RNAcentral lists this ribosomal RNA (1439 nucleotides) under uncultured bacterium. RNAcentral describes it as "bacterial SSU rRNA". It matches the Rfam family "Bacterial small subunit ribosomal RNA". The record is from RNAcentral.
AGAGUUUGAUCAUGGCUCAGAACGUACGCUGGCGGCACGCCUAACACAUGCAAGUCGAACGAAGUAGCAAUACUUAGUGGCAGACGGGUGAGUAACAUGUGGGUAUCUGCCCUUUGGCCUGGAAUAACACGAGGAAACUUGUGCUAAUACUGGAUAAGUCUUUACGGAGAAAGCUUUAUGCACCAUUGGAUGAGCCCGCACUUGAUUAGUUUGUUGGUGGGGUAAUGGCCUACCAAGACUUUGAUCAAUAGCUGAUUUGAGAGGAUGAUCAGCCACAUUGGGACUGAGACACGGCCCAAACUCCUACGGGAGGCAGCAGUGGGGAAUCUUGCACAAUGGAGGAAACUCUGAUGCAGCGAUGCCGCGUGAGUGAAGAAGGCCCUUGGGUUGUAAAGCUCUUUCGUCGGGGAAGAAAAUGACUGUACCCGAAUAAGAAGGUCCGGCUAACUUCGUGCCAGCAGCCGCGGUAAUACGAAGGGACCUAGCGUAGUUCGGAAUUACUGGGCUUAAAGAGUUCGUAGGUGGUUGAAAAAGUUGGUGGUGAAAUCCCAGAGCUUAACUCUGGAACUGCCAUCAAAACUUUUCAGCUAGAGUUUGAUAGAGGAAAGCAGAAUUUCUAGUGUAGAGGUGAAAUUCGUAGAUAUUAGAAAGAAUACCAAUUGCGAAGGCAGCUUUCUGGAUCAUUACUGACGCUGAGGAACGAAAGCAUGGGUAGCGAAGAGGAUUAGAUACCCUCGUAGUCCAUGCCGUAAACGAUGUGUGUUAGACGUUGGAAAUUUAUUUUCAGUGUCGCAGCGAAAGCGAUAAACACACCGCCUGGGGAGUACGACCGCAAGGUUAAAACUCAAAUGAAUUGACGGGGACCCGCACAAGUAGUGGAGCAUGUGGUUUAAUUCGAAGAUACGCGCAGAACCUUACCAACACUUGACAUGUUCGUCGCGACUUUAAGAGAUUAAAGUUUUCGGUUCGGCCGGACGAAACACAGGUGCUGCAUGGCUGUCGUCAGCUCGUGUCGUGAGAUGUUGGGUUAAGUCCCGCAACGAGCGCAACCCUCACUUUUAGUUGCCAUCAUUAAGUUGGGCACUCUGAAAGAACUGCCAGUGAUAAGCUGGAGGAAGGUGGGGAUGACGUCAAGUCCUCAUGGCCCUUACGUGUUGGGCUACACACGUGCUACAAUGGUAUCUACAACAGGAAGCGAAACAGCGAUGUUAAGCAAAUCCUUAAAAGAUACCUCAGUUCGGAUUGCACUCUGCAACUCGAGUGCAUGAAGCUGGAAUUACUAGUAAUCGUGGAUCAGCGUGCCACGGUGAAUGCGUUCCCGGGUCUUGUACACACCGCCCGUCACACCAUGGGAGUUGGUUCUACCUUAAGGCAAGGUUUAAUACCCUUGACCACGGUAUAGUCAGCGACUGGGGUGAAGUCAUAACAAGGUAGCCGUA